UACGGGGGGAGCAAGCGUUGUUCGGAUUUACUGGGCGUAAAGGGCGCGUAGGCGGCGACCCAAGUCAGAUGUGAAAGUCCUGGGCUUAACCUGGGGACUGCAUUUGAUACUGGGUUGCUUGAAUUCGGGAGAGGAUAGCGGAAUUCCCAGUGUAGAGGUGAAAUUCGUAGAUAUUGGGAAGAACACCGGUGGCGAAGGCGGCUAUCUGGACCGACAUUGACGCUGAGGCGCGAAAGCGUGGGGAGCAAACAGG
Molecule: ribosomal RNA, 253 nt
Filed under: uncultured bacterium
Lineage: Bacteria
Description: partial 16S ribosomal RNA
Rfam family: Bacterial small subunit ribosomal RNA
Source: RNAcentral